CAUGGCUCAGGACGAACGCUGGCGGCGUGCUUAACACAUGCAAGUCGAACGGAAAGGCCCUGCUUUUGUGGGGUGCUCGAGUGGCGAACGGGUGAGUAACACGUGAGUAACCUGCCCUUGACUUUGGGAUAACUUCAGGAAACUGGGGCUAAUACCGGAUAGGAGCUCCUGCUGCAUGGUGGGGGUUGGAAAGUUUCGGCGGUUGGGGAUGGACUCGCGGCUUAUCAGCUUGUUGGUGGGGUAGUGGCUUACCAAGGCUUUGACGGGUAGCCGGCCUGAGAGGGUGACCGGCCACAUUGGGACUGAGAUACGGCCCAGACUCCUACGGGAGGCAGCAGUGGGGAAUAUUGCACAAUGGGCGGAAGCCUGAUGCAGCAACGCCGCGUGCGGGAUGACGGCCUUCGGGUUGUAAACCGCUUUCGCCUGUGACGAAGCGUGAGUGACGGUAAUGGGUAAAGAAGCACCGGCUAACUACGUGCCAGCAGCCGCGGUGAUACGUAGGGUGCGAGCGUUGUCCGGAUUUAUUGGGCGUAAAGGGCUCGUAGGUGGUUGAUCGCGUCGGAAGUGUAAUCUUGGGGCUUAACCCUGAGCGUGCUUUCGAUACGGGUUGACUUGAGGAAGGUAGGGGAGAAUGGAAUUCCUGGUGGAGCGGUGGAAUGCGCAGAUAUCAGGAGGAACACCAGUGGCGAAGGCGGUUCUCUGGGCCUUUCCUGACGCUGAGGAGCGAAAGCGUGGGGAGCGAACAGGCUUAGAUACCCUGGUAGUCCACGCUGUAAACGGUGGGUACUAGGUGUGGGGUCCAUUCCACGGGUUCCGUGCCGUAGCUAACGCUUUAAGUACCCCGCCUGGGGAGUACGGCCGCAAGGCUAAAACUCAAAGGAAUUGACGGGGCCCCGCACAAGCGGCGGAGCAUGCGGAUUAAUUCGAUGCAACGCGUAGAACCUUACCUGGGUUUGACAUGGAUCGGGAGCGCUCAGAGAUGGGUGUGCCUCUUUUGGGGUCGGUUCACAGGUGGUGCAUGGCUGUCGUCAGCUCGUGUCGUGAGAUGUUGGGUUAAGUCCCGCAACGAGCGCAACCCUUGUUCACUGUUGCCAGCACGUUAUGGUGGGGACUCAGUGGAGACCGCCGGGGUCAACUCGGAGGAAGGUGGGGAUGACGUCAAGUCAUCAUGCCCCUUAUGUCCAGGGCUUCACGCAUGCUACAAUGGCUGGUACAGAGAGUGGCGAGCCUGUGAGGGUGAGCGAAUCUCGGAAAGCCGGUCUCAGUUCGGAUUGGGGUCUGCAACUCGACCUCAUGAAGUCGGAGUCGCUAGUAAUCGCAGAUCAGCAACGCUGCGGUGAAUACGUUCCCGGGGCUUGUACACACCGCCCGUCAAGUCAUGAAAGUUGGUAACACCCGAAGCCGGUGGCCUAACCGUUGUGGGGGAGCCGUCGAAGGUGGGACUGGUGAUUAGGACUAAGUCGUAACAAGGUAGCCGUACCGGAAGGUGCGGUUG
This 1495-nucleotide ribosomal RNA is filed under the name Cutibacterium acnes. Its description in RNAcentral is "partial 16S ribosomal RNA". It matches the Rfam family "Bacterial small subunit ribosomal RNA". The record is from RNAcentral. Lineage: Bacteria; Bacillati; Actinomycetota; Actinomycetes; Propionibacteriales; Propionibacteriaceae.